UCUCAAAGGAAGGCAGCAGCUGCGUGGGAGAUACGAAGGAAAUGAAAAAGGGAAGCAAUAUUAUCCUAGUCUUUUUGGUCUGUCUUCUCGUCUCCUGCUGCUCUGGCUUCCUCUGGAGGGUUAGGUUGAGAGGAAGACAGUUUCCUCAACCUUCAGAGGAGGCUCUCAGUGUCCAAGGAUGCUGAGCCCGGCAGGCAACUUGUAAAUCGAUUCCUGACAAAGAUCCAUUCUACCUUACAAGUUGUUCUAAGGGGGACUUGGUCUUCUUUGGUCUGGGGCUUGGCAGGCAGGACUGGUUGUACAUCCCACAGCAGGGCCUUGGAAUCACGGCCUUUCUGACAUUCAACAGCUACCAGAGCAGCCUAAGAAUUCUCAGCCAGCAGUAGGAUAAUCGGAUAAUUUACCAUCGGAAAUUCCAAAACAACCGCAAUGAACUGCAAUUGUUCUUCUCUCGUUAGACAGAUUCACUGAGAAAUCACAGGUCAAUCUGAAAGAAUAGCCUUAUGGCUUAUAUAUUACAUGGUUGUACAAUCACACGAGGCAGCAAAUGACAGCAGGAACAUUGGGACACAGCUUCUGCUCCUUUGUCAAGGGGAGGGGCAGCCAAGGAUUUGAUGAACUGAGUCUGCUGCUCGCUCUUUCUGCUGAAGUGGCGUUUAGUAAGCUAAGCUAGUUUAACAGAGGAUUUCAGAAUCAUUUAAUUCUAAAUUCGGUGUUUCAUCCACCUGCAUGGAGAGAAAGCUCGAGCAGGAGGCCACCAUUUGCAAGUACCCCAGCAUGCCUGGACUCACACUUCACCGUGACUCCCAUCUGCUGAAAGUCUUUGGACCCCGACAAAGUACGUAGCAGCACAGACGUCAUGCCCUUUGACUUCCAGGUGAUCUGAAACCCCACAGCCUUCUUUUCGGCACGUGGCACACUGACUUGAUUGAUAACCUAAAAUGAUCACACCCUACAAUUUGCUUCUGAGAUGAAAAGAAAUCGGGCAAAAGGAGCAUGUUAAUGGACAGCUGGCAUGGCUGGUGGCCGUAGUCCAAUGUCACAGCACCUGGGUCUCAUUCUGGCUCCAUCACAGUACAGUAUAAGUUCAGGCAGGUUACCCGAGCAGUAGAUGUUAGAUCCUGGGAUCUGACUGGGCUGCUACGGGGAUUAUGAAAGAUAACUCUAAAUGGUCAUUGGAGGAGCCUAACAAACAAUAACUGCUUAGCAAUAUUACAGCCAUCAUCCCUGUGGCUUUAACCAACUGUCAAGGUUAGUUACCACAGUUCUGCUGCCUUCAACUGUUUUGAUGGCUCAGGUGAGGCACACACGCUCUUUCAGCUCCCGGAAGGCCCUGAGAAAUGGUGCCUCUUACUGAUCGGGGUACCCUCCCCCAUGUUUUACUACCAGUUCUCUUAAUUUCCCACCUUGGAGGUGUGGGAUUUGUUCUUCUAUGUUUGUCGUUGAGAUGGAGUGCUGCUACGUUGCCCAGGCUACACUUGAACUUGUGUUCCUACUCAAGAGGGUCUGAGUAGGGAGGUCUCUAGGCAUGUAUUGCUCUAGCCAACUUUCACGGGAAGCAUUUUAAACAUUACAUUUAUCAUUCAAUUAAUUCAGACCUAAUGCAGAAGUUAAAAUAAAAGACAAACAGAAGCCGGGCGUUGGUGGCGCACGCCUUUAAUCCCAGUACUUGGGA
Long non-coding RNA from Mesocricetus auratus (golden hamster), 1675 nucleotides. RefSeq lists it as uncharacterized. The record is from RefSeq and is a predicted model, not a curated record. NCBI's taxonomy places the organism in Eukaryota, Metazoa, Chordata, Mammalia, Rodentia, Cricetidae. The transcript has 3 exons.